Molecule: transfer RNA, 76 nt
Filed under: Pseudomonadota bacterium
Lineage: Bacteria; Pseudomonadati; Pseudomonadota
Also listed under: 1 other name
Description: tRNA-Ala
Rfam family: tRNA
About the family: Transfer RNA (tRNA) molecules are approximately 80 nucleotides in length. Their secondary structure includes four short double-helical elements and three loops (D, anti-codon, and T loops). Further hydrogen bonds mediate the characteristic L-shaped molecular structure. tRNAs have two regions of fundamental functional importance: the anti-codon, which is responsible for specific mRNA codon recognition, and the 3' end, to which the tRNAs corresponding amino acid is attached (by aminoacyl-tRNA synthetases). tRNAs cope with the degeneracy of the genetic code in two manners: having more than one tRNA (with a specific anti-codon) for a particular amino acid; and 'wobble' base-pairing, i.e. permitting non-standard base-pairing at the 3rd anti-codon position.
Source: RNAcentral
GGGGCUGUAGUUCAGCUGGGAGAACACCACACUGGCAGUGUGGAUGUCAGGGGUUCGAGUCCCCUCAGCUCCACCA